Molecule: long non-coding RNA, 1218 nt
Organism: Cyprinodon tularosa
Lineage: Eukaryota; Metazoa; Chordata; Actinopteri; Cyprinodontiformes; Cyprinodontidae
Exons: 2
Source: RefSeq, a predicted model, not a curated record
AAACGGGGAAAAAAAGCAUAAUUUCCUGUAGUGAUCAACAGCAUAAAUGUAAGUUAAUGACAUUCCUGUCUCUCAGGAGAGCUCAGCGCCAGGCUCCUAUGAUGAACAUCAGAUUCCAGAUUGAUCUAGCCCAUGGAGACUUCUUCCUCAUGGUGACAUCUUCAGCAAAAGCAUCAAUGAGUACUGAGUAUGAAGUAAAAGGGUUAGUGGAUCAAGACGCUGCUGUAAACACUGAUGUUGCCAUCCAUCUCCACCAAAAUGUGGAACCAAAACCGAAAAAUGUGCAGAUUGAAAGAAGAAGCUCGUUCACACUAAUGACCAAUAACAGAAGCUCGCAUUUCACCGUGAAUCACAAGUGUUUGGCUGCAAACAAACUGGAAAACGGGAUCUGAAACCUGAGCUCGGCCACCCUACACAUUACACGCGCUGCACCUUUAACCACACGUCCAGAUGAAGGUUUACAGUUUAACUUUUAAUCUGUUCUGCUCCCCGUCGGGUUUGACCUUUUUUUUUUUUUCUUGUUGCGUUUCUCAGCAAUGAGCAGCAGCUUAAAAAGGAAACGUCCUUUCUCGCUUCACUUCCAGGCACAAACAGAAGAGGAGGGAAGAAGGUGCCUGCAGUGUUUUUCUUUGGAUUCACCAAAAAAAAAGAAAAAACAAACACAUUCCUCCAACUUUGAUUGUUUGAAAGGAAGUCAAACCUUCAGAGCUUCCUGGUUGGCUGAAAGCAGCUGCAGAGGUUGGAAAGGACCGGUCCAAGUCCAGAACUAAAUCAAGAGCAAAACCCAGAACUAGUCAGCCGGACCACCUCUGGAGGAAACAUCUACCCUCACAUCAGGUCCCAGAGCCACAAAAUGUGAUGAUGGAGGCCCCUCUCUCACCCCCUCCCUCCCUCUGGCCUCGCCCCUCUCCUCCCUGGUUCAGGGAUGCUGGCUUUGGACCAGGCCCCUUCCUCCCUCACCUAAAGCCUCCCAGUCACAGCAAACCGCUUCCUGCUGGUUUGGAGUCAGUCUGCUGGAGGGAAACAAAGCAGCGAUCAGACUCUGCAGUGCGGCUCGGAGGAGAGAGAGCGGAGCGCUGAUCAGAGGCUCACUGCAGCUGAUGGACGAGCAGAAAGUAAAGCAGCUCAGAGACGCUUAUUCCCGCACUUCACUGCGACCCCCGCGCAUCUUCAGCCCCGCAAUGCACGCACACAAAAAAAAAAAAAAAAAAAAAAAAA